GUCGUUUUAUCCUUCUAUAUAAAUCAAAUUUAACAAAAGAAGGUUCAUUUCUGCUGAAAAUAAAAAAACUCAAGAGGGCCUUAUUCUUUUUCUCUGCUGGGGCUCCUGCGCCGAUCAUGGGUCCGGUCAUCGGACUGACGCCAUCCGCCGCGAGGUCGCUGCGUGCGGUGGCCAGAAAAUCGAAAAGGUACUUUUUCUCUUAUUUUUUGUAUUUUUUUAGGUUUAUAAUAUAUGUAUAUAUGCGAGGAAAUAAAUUCGAAAAUAGGAUAAAAAUAAAAACUAAAAUCACCUUAGUCCUUCGAUUGUGAUUUUGGUAUUUUGGUUGCCUGAUUUUGUGAUAUUCUCGUGCUUUAGAUGUUACUGAGAUUACUGCUUUUGUUUAUGUUUAAAUCUAUUUUUGUAUUGAAAAGUUGCCGAAUGUUUUGUGUUUGCAAAGAAAAAAAUUGCUGAAUCCCUAAAUCGAUUUUUGCUUGGCUUUUUAAAGCCACUUACAUGCCUUUCCUCUUCUCUCUUUUUUUAUAUUAUCUGUCUCUUCUGCAUUUAUUCUGCAGGCGCAAGUGGAGGCACUGACUAGGACUGUGGAGUAGGUGGCCGACUGGCAUGGGGGAUGGGACAGAGGUCAGAGGCGGCAGCAGCUGAUUUAGGGUUUUUUUUUGUUUCACCUUUGAUUCGGGCUAUUAGGGUUAAUUUGGGCUUGGGGUUUAAAUUUAGCUGGGUUUAGCUAUUUGGGUCUGGGUGUGAUUUGGGCUUUUUGGGUUGCAAUUUUAGAUUGUAAAAAAAACUGAACUUUUAAUUUAUUUUUGGUUUUUGUUUGAUUAUUUUCUGGACCCAGGUCAAAUUGGGCCUCUACAAAGGGAAGUAAAUAAAAUUUGACUUACCAAAUAUUAGAACUAUUUCCUAACUUACUAAAUUUCUAAAAAAGUGACUACUACCCACCGUAUCGAACCUAUGAUCUGAUAAUUUUGAUAUGAUAUGAAUAUUAAUAUAUUGAGUUUUAA
RNAcentral lists this long non-coding RNA (998 nucleotides) under Gossypium barbadense (sea-island cotton). RNAcentral describes it as "long non-coding RNA (GBAR_LNC011978)". Lineage: Eukaryota; Viridiplantae; Streptophyta; Magnoliopsida; Malvales; Malvaceae. The record is from RNAcentral.